Molecule: ribosomal RNA, 497 nt
Filed under: uncultured bacterium
Lineage: Bacteria
Description: partial 16S ribosomal RNA
Rfam family: Bacterial small subunit ribosomal RNA
Source: RNAcentral
GAUGAACGCUGGCGGCGUGCCUAAUACAUGCAAGUCGAGCGAACAGACGAGGAGCUUGCUCCUCUGACGUUAGCGGCGGACGGGUGAGUAACACGUGGAUAACCUACCUAUAAGACUGGGAUAACUUCGGGAAACCGGAGCUAAUACCGGAUAAUAUAUUGAACCGCAUGGUUCAAUAGUGAAAGACGGUUUUGCUGUCAAUUAUAGAUGGAUCCGCGCCGCAUUAGCUAGUUGGUAAGGUAACGGCUUACCAAGGCAACGAUGCGUAGCCGACCUGAGAGGGUGAUCGGCCACACUGGAACUGAGUCACGGUCCAGACUCCUACGGGAGGCAGCAGUAGGGAAUCUUCCGCAAUGGGCGAGAGCCUGACGGAGCAACGCCGCGUGAGUUAUGAAGGUCUUCGGAUCGUAAAACUCUGUUAUUAGGGGAAAACAAAUGUGUAAGUAACUAUGCACGUCUUGACGGUACCUAAUCAGAAAGCCACGGCUAACUACGUG